ACGGAGGGUGCAAGCGUUAAUCGGAAUUACUGGGCGUAAAGCGCGCGUAGGCCGCUUUGUAAGUCAGAGGUGAAAUCCCAGCGCCUAACGUUGGAGUAGCCUUUGAUACUGCAGAGCUUGAGUCCGUGAGAGGGUGGCGGAAUUCCUGGUGUAGGGGUGACAUCCGUAGAGAUCAGGAGGAACACCGGUGGCGAAGGCGGCCACCUGGCACGGUACUGACGCUGAGGUGCGAAAGCGUGGGGAGCAAACAG
Molecule: ribosomal RNA, 251 nt
Filed under: uncultured bacterium
Lineage: Bacteria
Description: partial 16S ribosomal RNA
Rfam family: Bacterial small subunit ribosomal RNA
Source: RNAcentral